This 512-nucleotide ribosomal RNA is filed under the name uncultured bacterium. RNAcentral's name for it is "partial 16S ribosomal RNA". It matches the Rfam family "Bacterial small subunit ribosomal RNA", at positions 28 to 523 of the family's 1533-position model. The record is from RNAcentral.
GACGAACGCUGGCGGCAUGCCUAAUACAUGCAAGUCGCGCGAACAGAUGAAGUGCUUGCACUUCUGACGUUAGCGGCGAACGGGUGAGUAACACGUAAGGAACCUACCUAUAAGCGGGGGAUAACACUCGGAAACGGGUGCUCAUACCGCAUCAUAUCUUCUUCCGCAUGGAAGAAGCUUGAAAGACGGCCCUGCUGUCACUCAUAGAUGCCCUUGCGGUGCAUUAGUUAGUUGGUGGGGUAAUGGCCUACCAAGACGAUGAUGCGUGGCCGACCUGAGAGGGUGAUCGGCCACAUUGGGACUGAGACACGGCCCAAACUCCUACGGGGGGCAGCAGUAGGGAAUCUUCCGCAAUGGGCGAAAGCCUGACGGAGCAAUGCCGCGUGAGUGAAGAGGCCUUCGGGUCGUAAAACUCUGUUAUAAGGGAAGAACAAAUUGUAGAGUAACUGCUACAGUCUUGACGGUAUCUUAUCAGAAAGCCACGGCUAACUACGUGCCAGCCGCCGCAGUAA